UCCCUGGGUCCAGUGGCUAAGACUCUGCGCUCUCAAUGCAGGGGGCCCAGGUUCCAUCCCUGGCCAGGCAA
Molecule: transfer RNA, 71 nt
Filed under: Bos indicus (zebu cattle)
Lineage: Eukaryota; Metazoa; Chordata; Mammalia; Artiodactyla; Bovidae
Also listed under: 1 other name
Rfam family: tRNA
About the family: Transfer RNA (tRNA) molecules are approximately 80 nucleotides in length. Their secondary structure includes four short double-helical elements and three loops (D, anti-codon, and T loops).
Source: Rfam by way of RNAcentral